UACGGAGGGUGCAAACGUUGCUCGGAAUCAUUGGGCGUAAAGCGCACGUAGGCGGUUUGUUAUGUCGGAUGUGAAAGCCCUCGGCUUAACCGAGGAAGUGCAUCCGAAACUGGCAAGCUUGAGUACAGAAGAGGUCUCGGAAUUCCCGGUGUAGAGGUGAAAUUCGUAGAUAUCGGGAGGAACACCAGUGGCGAAGGCGGAGACCUGGGCCGUGAGUAUUGACGCUGAGGUGACGAAAGGCGUGGGGAGCAAACAGG
RNAcentral lists this ribosomal RNA (257 nucleotides) under uncultured bacterium. RNAcentral's name for it is "partial 16S ribosomal RNA". It matches the Rfam family "Bacterial small subunit ribosomal RNA", at positions 524 to 776 of the family's 1533-position model. The record is from RNAcentral.